GACGAACGCUGGCGGCGUGCUUAACACAUGCAAGUCGAACGGAAAGGCCCUGCUUUUGUGGGGUGCUCGAGUGGCGAACGGGUGAGUAACACGUGAGUAACCUGCCCUUGACUUUGGGAUAACUUCAGGAAACUGGGGCUAAUACCGGAUAGGAGCUCCUGCUGCAUGGUGGGGGUUGGAAAGUUUCGGCGGUUGGGGAUGGACUCGCGGCUUAUCAGCUUGUUGGUGGGGUAGUGGCUUACCAAGGCUUUGACGGGUAGCCGGCCUGAGAGGGUGAACGGCCACAAUGGGACUGAGAUACGGCCCAGACUCCUACGGGCGGCAGCAGUGGGGAAUAUUGCACAAUGGGCGGAAGCCUGAUGCAGCAACGCCGCGUGCGGGAUGACGGCCUUCGGGUUGUAAACCGCUUUCGCCUGUGACGAAGCGUGAGUGACGGUAAUGGGUAAAGAAGCACCGGCUAACUACGUG
This 468-nucleotide ribosomal RNA is filed under the name uncultured bacterium. RNAcentral's name for it is "partial 16S ribosomal RNA". It matches the Rfam family "Bacterial small subunit ribosomal RNA", at positions 28 to 507 of the family's 1533-position model. The record is from RNAcentral.